UGACCAUUACCUAAGUAAAGUUGGGAUGACAUCUUUAUCUCUGUACCUUUGAAAGAUACCCUUGUUUUCAUCAAAAUUUAUGUUACCCACACUAGGCUAAAAUAUUUGUUUUUAGUAAAGUGAAAAAUCGUUCUGUAAAGUGACCAACAAUUCACUUAGUUUGUUUUGAAAGUUAGGACUUUUCAUUUUUCAGGUUUUCUUAGUGUGAAAUAUGAACCCAUCAUUAUAUGGCCUGGGAACUGGACCAGUUUUAAAUCUUAUGUUGAGAGCUGGAAGAUGGUGGAGGAGUACUGCCUGAGAAUGAACCAUUAUCCAAUGAGAGGGAAGCAGUGUGUGACAUUAAUGGAAAGACAUGCAGAUGUGGAGGAAGAAAGGUCUGGGCAAACUUCCUCAAGCCAUCUAACCUGUCUGCACCAGAGCUUACUUGGAAAGUGGAACAAUACCACCACCAGCAUUUCUGCCUUUCUGAUGGGCAGGACCACAGGGGAUUGGAGGCAGUGCUGGGACAGAGCAUGGUUCCGCCUUUGAUAGCCUCUGCUCUUCAUAGGGAACCCCAGAGUGAAGGACGGUCAAUGUGUUUUGUUUGCAUGAACACAAAUUGUGAGUGAGUGGGGUUUGUUUCCCUAAGGAAGUCUGACAUCGUGUUUGUAAUGCUUGUUAUUACAGAGGUGGUGAUUCGUGGAGCCAGAGGUGUAUAGUCAUCACCUUUAUCAGUACAGAAAAUAUAGUCUGAAUCGAAGUUCUUCCAUAGUUCUCAGCUAAGACAUGGCUUUUGGAGGAAAAUUCCAUAGCUACAGAGGUCAGGAUGCUGGUUUCUGCCAGUUACUGAGAGCCUAACUCUUGGUGUUACAUUCCCAACUGAAAAUACAUUAUUCCCAGCAGGUUUUCCCUUGUGCAGCCUGCAUUCAGGUUCCGGAGUGCUGACUCUCCUUUAUGGGGUCGAAGGCCUCCAUCAUAUUGCAAAAGACAUGCUUUCUCAAGAUAGGCUGGAGGAAAAAAACCUCCAUAUUUAAUGAUGCUAUUCCAGCGAAGCAGGGCCUUAAUGAUGAUAAUAAUAAUAAUUAAUGGCACAGCUAGAGAACUGACAAAUAAUGGGGAACAGAUGAUCCCUUCCUGGCCUCACAAAAAAAAAAAAAAAAAAAAAAGGUCUGUACGCCUGCAGAAAAUUAAACAGAUUCUUUCCUGGCAAUUUAAAACUCAGAUGCCACAGCCAGAGUCAGUUAGUGGUUUCUGUUUUUCUCUGUGGAGAGCUAAAAGUAUAAAAUUCCAACUACUUCCAACUCCUGCAUUGCCACACAAAGCAAAAUAAGGCAUAUGGCAUCAGCCCUGAGUCUUCAGUUUAGCUGCAGUUCUCACAUCCUAACUGGUCCCACCAGCAAUUUUAAGUUCUUUUAUGUUUUAUCGUUUCUUAGUUGUGCUAAUAAAGUGUAACUUUCUCACCCUA
Molecule: non-coding RNA, 1444 nt
Organism: Callithrix jacchus (white-tufted-ear marmoset)
Lineage: Eukaryota; Metazoa; Chordata; Mammalia; Primates; Cebidae
Source: RefSeq, a predicted model, not a curated record